RNAcentral lists this ribosomal RNA (959 nucleotides) under Hypogymnia farinacea. Its description in RNAcentral is "SSU rRNA". It matches the Rfam family "Eukaryotic small subunit ribosomal RNA", at positions 107 to 870 of the family's 1831-position model. The record is from RNAcentral. Lineage: Eukaryota; Fungi; Ascomycota; Lecanoromycetes; Lecanorales; Parmeliaceae.
CAGUUAUCGUUUAUUUGAUAGUACCUUUCUACUUGGAUACCUGUGGUAAUUCUAGAGCUAAUACAUGCUAAAAACCUCAACUUCGGAAGGGGUGUAUUUAUUAGAUAAAAAACCAAUGCCCUUCGGGGCUCCUUGGUGAUUCAUAAUAACUUAACGAAUCGCAUGGCCUUGCGCCGGCGAUGGUUCAUUCAAAUUUCUGCCCUAUCAACUUUCGAUGGUAGGAUAGUGGCCUACCAUGGUUUCUACGGGUGAAAAAUAUCCGUUGCCCGUGGGCACGAUCGUUGGGGGGGGUCCCCUCGGCGACACCGCUGGCUCCGAAGACGUCCUUUUAGGGCCGAAUCGGGGGCGAGCUCCCACCCGGAGCCGCCCGAACGCAUGCAAAGCGGUGGGCUUCGUCCGGUUCGAUGCUUUCGGUACAUGCUACCGCCCGGCCACCGCGCCGGGCCGGAUAAAUGAACGGGGAAUUAGGGUUCUAUUCCGGAGAGGGAGCCUGAGAAACGGCUACCACAUCCAAGGAAGGCAGCAGGCGCGCAAAUUACCCAAUCCCGACACGGGGAGGUAGUGACAAUAAAUACUGAUACAGGGCUCUUUUGGGUCUUGUAAUUGGAAUGAGUACAAUUUAAAUCCCUUAACGAGGAACAAUUGGAGGGCAAGUCUGGUGCCAGCAGCCGCGGUAAUUCCAGCUCCAAUAGCGUAUAUUAAAGUUGUUGCAGUUAAAAAGCUCGUAGUUGAAACUUGGCCUUGGCUGACCGGUCCGCCUCACCGCGUGCACUGGUUCGGCCGGGGCUUUCCUUCUGGGGAUCCGCAUGGCCUUCAUUGGUUGUGUUGGGGAACCAGGACUUUUACUUUGAAAAAAUUAGAGUGUUCAAAGCAGGCCUAUGCUCGAAUACAUUAGCAUGGAAUAAUAGAAUAGGACGUGUGGUUCUAUUUUGUUGGUUUCUAGGACCGCCGUAAUGAUU